This 1101-nucleotide ribosomal RNA is filed under the name Micrococcus sp. MOLA 1. Its description in RNAcentral is "bacterial SSU rRNA". It matches the Rfam family "Bacterial small subunit ribosomal RNA", at positions 386 to 1493 of the family's 1533-position model. Lineage: Bacteria; Bacillati; Actinomycetota; Actinomycetes; Micrococcales; Micrococcaceae. The record is from RNAcentral.
AUGCAGCCGACGCCCGCGUGAGGGAUGACGGCCUUCGGGUUGUAAACCUCUUUCAGUAGGGAAGAAGCGAAAGUGACGGUACCUGCAGAAGAAGCACCGGCUAACUACGUGCCAGCAGCCGCGGUAAUACGUAGGGUGCGAGCGUUAUCCGGAAUUAUUGGGCGUAAAGAGCUCGUAGGCGGUUUGUCGCGUCUGUCGUGAAAGUCCGGGGCUUAACCCCGGAUCUGCGGUGGGUACGGGCAGACUAGAGUGCAGUAGGGGAGACUGGAAUUCCUGGUGUAGCGGUGGAAUGCGCAGAUAUCAGGAGGAACACCGAUGGCGAAGGCAGGUCUCUGGGCUGUAACUGACGCUGAGGAGCGAAAGCAUGGGGAGCGAACAGGAUUAGAUACCCUGGUAGUCCAUGCCGUAAACGUUGGGCACUAGGUGUGGGGACCAUUCCACGGUUUCCGCGCCGCAGCUAACGCAUUAAGUGCCCCGCCUGGGGAGUACGGCCGCAAGGCUAAAACUCAAAGGAAUUGACGGGGGCCCGCACAAGCGGCGGAGCAUGCGGAUUAAUUCGAUGCAACGCGAAGAACCUUACCAAGGCUUGACAUGUUCUCGAUCGCCGUAGAGAUACGGUUUCCCCUUUGGGGCGGGUUCACAGGUGGUGCAUGGUUGUCGUCAGCUCGUGUCGUGAGAUGUUGGGUUAAGUCCCGCAACGAGCGCAACCCUCGUUCCAUGUUGCCAGCACGUAAUGGUGGGGACUCAUGGGAGACUGCCGGGGUCAACUCGGAGGAAGGUGAGGACGACGUCAAAUCAUCAUGCCCCUUAUGUCUUGGGCUUCACGCAUGCUACAAUGGCCGGUACAAUGGGUUGCGAUACUGUGAGGUGGAGCUAAUCCCAAAAAGCCGGUCUCAGUUCGGAUUGGGGUCUGCAACUCGACCCCAUGAAGUCGGAGUCGCUAGUAAUCGCAGAUCAGCAACGCUGCGGUGAAUACGUUCCCGGGCCUUGUACACACCGCCCGUCAAGUCACGAAAGUUGGUAACACCCGAAGCCGGUGGCCUAACCCUUGUGGGGGGAGCCGUCGAAGGUGGGACCAGCGAUUGGGACUAAGUCGUACCA